AUGAGGACUGAUUUGAUACAUUUUUUAUAUCAUAGGGACUAAAGGUUGACAUUUUUAAAAGCGGGGACUAAACUGAACAUCAGAACUUAACUUAGGGACCAAGACAAGGUUUAAACCUUUAAUUAAUUUGAAUAUUCUGAGCUAAUUAUUUGCAUUAUUAAUUGUAGGGAAAAUUUUAGAAAUAUAAUUUGAGACAUUUGGGAGAUUAAAUGAGGUGUGAAAAAGAAGGGGGCACUACGGUGAUUUUUCUCUUUGGGCUUUUGAGAAAGGGGUGCUUCAAGUGGAAAAUGGGUGACAUACAACAGUAUGAUGUCACGGCCCAUGACAUUCAAUUUUUGGAAAAAGAAGUGCUCUCAAGUGCAUGGAAAGUGGGCCAAUUUUAUUUGGCUGCUAGAAUGUGUUGAUUGAUUUUUAAAGAGUAACAUUUUUUGGCUUCUAGGAAAUAAGAAGCAC
Molecule: long non-coding RNA, 453 nt
Filed under: Vigna radiata
Lineage: Eukaryota; Viridiplantae; Streptophyta; Magnoliopsida; Fabales; Fabaceae
Description: long non-coding RNA (VRAD_LNC006396)
Source: RNAcentral